RNAcentral lists this ribosomal RNA (270 nucleotides) under uncultured archaeon. Its description in RNAcentral is "partial 16S ribosomal RNA". It matches the Rfam family "Bacterial small subunit ribosomal RNA", at positions 527 to 796 of the family's 1533-position model. The record is from RNAcentral.
CGAGGUGGCGAACGUUGUUCGGAUUUACUGGGCGUAAAGGGUCCGCAGGCGGUCCGGUGUGUCAGAUGUGAAAGCCCACAGCUUAACUGUGGAAUUGCAUUUGAAACUGCCGGACUAGAGUACUGGAGGGGAGAAGGGAACACUUGGUGUAGCGGUGAACUGCGUAGAUAUCAAGUGGAACACCGGUGGCGAAGGCGCUUCUCUGGACAGAUACUGACGCUCAUGGACGAAAGUUAGGGUAGCGAAAGGGAUUAGAUACCCCAGUAGUCC